RNAcentral lists this transfer RNA (69 nucleotides) under Rattus norvegicus (Norway rat). It matches the Rfam family "tRNA". Rfam says of the family: Transfer RNA (tRNA) molecules are approximately 80 nucleotides in length. Their secondary structure includes four short double-helical elements and three loops (D, anti-codon, and T loops). Further hydrogen bonds mediate the characteristic L-shaped molecular structure. tRNAs have two regions of fundamental functional importance: the anti-codon, which is responsible for specific mRNA codon recognition, and the 3' end, to which the tRNAs corresponding amino acid is attached (by aminoacyl-tRNA synthetases). tRNAs cope with the degeneracy of the genetic code in two manners: having more than one tRNA (with a specific anti-codon) for a particular amino acid; and 'wobble' base-pairing, i.e. permitting non-standard base-pairing at the 3rd anti-codon position. Lineage: Eukaryota; Metazoa; Chordata; Mammalia; Rodentia; Muridae. The record is from Rfam by way of RNAcentral.
GGAUUUUUAGCUCAGUGGUAGAGCGCUUGCCUAGCAAGCACAAGGCCCUGAGUUCGGUCCUCAGCUCCA